UUGCACGCUGGCGGCAUGCUUUACACAUGCCAGUCGGACGGCAGCACAGAGAAGCUUGCUUCUUGGGUGGCGAGUGGCGAACGGGUGAGUAAUAUAUCGGAACGUACCGAGUAAUGGGGGAUAACUAAUCGAAAGAUUAGCUAAUACCGCAUAUUCUCUGAGGAGGAAAGCAGGGGACCUUCGGGCCUUGCGUUAUUCGAGCGGCCGAUAUCUGAUUAGCUAGUUGGUGGGGUAAAGGCCUACCAAGGCGACGAUCAGUAGCGGGUCUGAGAGGAUGAUCCGCCACACUGGGACUGAGACACGGCCCAGACUCCUACGGGAGGCAGCAGUGGGGAAUUUUGGACAAUGGGCGCAAGCCUGAUCCAGCCAUGCCGCGUGUCUGAAGAAGGCCUUCGGGUUGUAAGGGACUUUUGUCAGGGAAGAAAAGGCUGUUGCUAAUACCGACAGCUGAUGACGGUACCUGAAGAAUAAGCACCGGCUAACUACGUG
Molecule: ribosomal RNA, 489 nt
Filed under: uncultured bacterium
Lineage: Bacteria
Description: partial 16S ribosomal RNA
Rfam family: Bacterial small subunit ribosomal RNA
Source: RNAcentral